Molecule: ribosomal RNA, 254 nt
Filed under: uncultured bacterium
Lineage: Bacteria
Description: partial 16S ribosomal RNA
Rfam family: Bacterial small subunit ribosomal RNA
Source: RNAcentral
GACGUAGGAGGCGAGCGUUGUCCGGAAUUAUUGGGCGUAAAGAGCUUGUAGGCGGUUUGUCGCGUCUGCUGUGAAAUUUCGGGGCUCAACCCCCGAACUUGCAGUGGGUACGGGCAGACUAGAGUGUGGUAGGGGAGACUGGAAUUCCUGGUGUAGCGGUGAAAUGCGCAGAUAUCAGGAGGAACACCGAUGGCGAAGGCAGGUCUCUGGGCCAUAACUGACGCUGAGAAGCGAAAGCAUGGGGAGCGAACAGG